This 549-nucleotide ribosomal RNA is filed under the name uncultured Glomus. Its description in RNAcentral is "SSU rRNA". It matches the Rfam family "Eukaryotic small subunit ribosomal RNA", at positions 548 to 1098 of the family's 1831-position model. Lineage: Eukaryota; Fungi; Glomeromycota; Glomeromycetes; Glomerales; Glomeraceae. The record is from RNAcentral.
UUGGAGGGCAAGUCUGGUGCCAGCAGCCGCGGUAAUUCCAGCUCCAAUAGCGUAUAUUAAAGUUGUUGCAGUUAAAAAGCUCGUAGUUGAAUUUCGGGAUCAAUGCGUCGGUCGUGCCUUCGGUACGUACUAGCGUCAUUGAUUCCUCCCUUCUGAAGAACCGUGAUGUCAUUAAUUUGGUGUUACGGGGAAUCAGGACUGUUACCUUGAAAAAAUUAGAGUGUUUAAAGCAGGCUAACGCUUGAAUACAUUAGCAUGGAAUAAUGAAAUAGGACGUUCGAACCUAUUUUGUUGGUUUCUAGGAUCGACGUAAUGAUUAAUAGGGAUAGUUGGGGGCAUUAGUAUUCAAUUGUCAGAGGUGAAAUUCUUGGAUUUAUUGAAGACUAACUACUGCGAAAGCAUUUGCCAAGGAUGUUUUCAUUAAUCAAGAACGAAAGUUAGGGGAUCGAAGACGAUCAGAUACCGUCGUAGUCUUAACCAUAAACUAUGCCGACUAGGGAUCGGAUGAUGUUAAUUUUAUAAUGACUCAUUCGGCACCUUACGGGAAAC